GGGGACCCGCAAGCGGUGGAUGAUGUGGAUUAAUUCGAUGCAACGCGAAAAACCUUACCUACCCUUGACAUGUACGGAAGCCUGAAGAGAUUCGGGUGUGCUCGAAAGAGAGCCGUAACACAGGUGCUGCAUGGCUGUCGUCAGCUCGUGUCGUGAGAUGUUGGGUUAAGUCCCGCAACGAGCGCAACCCUUGUCAUUAGUUGCUACGAAAGGGCACUCUGAUGAGACUGCCGGUGACAAACCGGAGGAAGGUGGGGAUGACGUCAAGUCCCUCAUGGCCCCUUAUGGGUAGGGCUUCACACGUCAUACAAUGGUACAUACAGAGGGCCGCCAACCCGCGAGGGGGAGCUAAUCCCAAAAAGUGUAUCGUAGUCCGGAUCGCAGUCUGCAACUCGACUGCGUGAAGUUGGAAUCGCUAGUAAUCGCGGAUCAGCAUGUCGCGGUGAAUACGUUCCCGGGGUCUUGUACACACC
Molecule: ribosomal RNA, 473 nt
Filed under: uncultured bacterium
Lineage: Bacteria
Description: bacterial SSU rRNA
Rfam family: Bacterial small subunit ribosomal RNA
Source: RNAcentral